RNAcentral lists this long non-coding RNA (2832 nucleotides) under Homo sapiens (human). RNAcentral describes it as "non-protein coding lnc-RBM11-1:7". Lineage: Eukaryota; Metazoa; Chordata; Mammalia; Primates; Hominidae. The record is from RNAcentral.
AUUCUGGGAAGCGGAGUUCCAGCCUUUCUCUUUCCGCGGGAGGGAAUGAAAGGGAGGGUAGACUGAGAACGAAUCAUCUCAGUACAACUGGGAAUUUAGCCACAUAGGGGUUGGAUUCCACCGCAAGUAAAAAGUGGUGGAUGUGCCCAAGACACAGGGAAGAAAAAGAAGUAAACAGGGAAGUACAACACAGACUCUGAAAUGGGGCAUCAUGGAAGACGGAGCUUUGUCGUCUUGGUCUUUGCUGUAUAUUCACUUCCUACAACAGUGCUAAAUACCUUGUGGAUGCUUAAAUAUAUUAAAUGAAUGCAUAAAUGAAAAGAGUAAAUAAAGAGUGUAUAUGAAAGUAUGUAGAUAAAAUUCUUCACUAAGCCUUGGGGAUCCAGCUGCUUAAGGACUAAGACCGUAUCUAGCUCCUUUUAGUAUUUCCACAGCAUGCCAUGGAGAUACAUGUUUCUGAUUAUAUAUGAUACAUGGAAAUUAUAUGUUGUUGAAUGAGUGAUUGAGUAAAUGUGUACUAGGGCAGCUAAUCAUAAAUAUUUCUACUAUUGCUAAAAUGACUGGAUUUAUCCAUUCCUUCUGAGAGUUUAUACUGAUUGCUUAUAUUGUAUCAAAUACCGUAACUGAGGGCAAUGUUUACUCAAACUAAUAGCACCAUUCAAAUUUAUGCAAACAAUAACACUAUAUCUUUAAAAUGUUUUCACUAAAAGCUGCAUAAAGAGUGUAUUCAACAACAAUAGAAUAAUUUUACAAUCUUUUUUCUUGCUUAAUGGCCAUUUGUGCCUUCUGACAUGCUGCUAGCCAUUCAAAGGUCACACUACCUUGAAGUUGAAGAUCAAGACAAAUGAUUAGACUCAUAAAAGACAAAUCACGUCUUUCUGGACAGCUCACAGCCAGCUGUCCCUGAGUCUGGAGUUAAAGCUGGAGUAAAGGUGGAGAGACCAAGGAGACACACCUGUCUCUCAUGACCUCCAAUCUUGAUGAUGUAGGUAACUUGACAGAGAAGAUGAUUCUCUUCACCACAGAGCUGAGCCACACCUGGCCAGAAUCAGGGAAGGUGAAGGAAGAGAUCUGGAGGGAUUUGGGGAAGCUGCAGGGCGGGCUGCUGUCCUCUGCCAAGAUCAGUGACAACGUGUGUGAGCUGCAACUGCACAUGAAUGUUACCAACCUUCUGAGACUUAAAAUUUUCACCUUCUAAAUCUUAGACAAAUUUCUUUUGUAGUAAUGUUAUUUCGAAAUCACGCUGAGAAAGCACUUCUGGGCCAUGUAAUUCCAAAUUAGUUAUAUUGACAAAGUGGCAAGGUAUCCACACUUUAUAGAUUUCUGUGACUUUUUCUCUCAAUAUUUACAUUGCAAGUUGUUUUUUGUAGCUAUAUGUCUUUAAUUUUCAUUAGUCUAUUAUAGUCCAUUAUGUGAAAAAUCUCAAAUGUAUUUUUCCAUUAUCUUGUUUAUGGACAUUUCAAUUGCUUUUAGUGUUUUGCUAUUAUGAAGAAUGCUACUGUGGAUAUUCUUCUAUAUUUCUCGUGAUGUAAUUGUGCAAGCAUUUCUCUACGGCUUAGAAAUAGGAGAACUGAUGUCCAACUUUACAAAAUGGUACCAAAUUGUUUUCCAAAGUUCUUUUUAUGAAAUUUAUACUUCCACCAAUGCCAUGUAGACUUUUUAUUGAUACAUAAUAAUUGUAAAUGUUUAUGGAGUACUUGUGAUAUUUUGAUGCGUGCAAUGUUUGAUGAUCAAACCAGGGUUUCUAGGCUAUCCAUCACCUCAACCAUUUAUCAUUUCUUUAUGUUCGGAACAUUUCAAAUCUUCCCCUCUAGCUAUUUUGAAAUACACAUUAGAUUACUAUUAAUUGUAGUCAGUCAACUGUGCUAUCAAACACUAGAAUUUAUUCCUUCUAUCCCAUGUUUGUACCCAUUAACCAACCUCUCUUCAUCCCCAUUCCCUUCCCAGCCUCUAGUAACCAUCAUUCUACUCUCUACCUCCAUAAGAGGUAGCUCCCACAGAUGAGUGCUAACAGUGAUAUGUGUCUUUCUGUGCCUGGUUUAUUUCACAUAACAUAACGACCUCCAGUUCCAUUGAUGUUGCUGCAAAUAGGAUUUUAUUUUUUAUGGCUGAAUAGUAUUCCAUUCAUCCUGUACAAUUGGGAAACUAUUUGCAAAUUAUUCAUUGAACAAUGUACUAAUAUCCAGAAUAUGUAAGUAACUCAAACAGCUCAAUGACAAAAAAACAAAUAAUCCCAUCAAAAAGUGGGCAAAGGAUCUUAAUAGACAUUUCUUAAAAGAAGACAUACAAAUGACAACAGGUAUAUGAAAAAAUACUCAACAUCACUAAUCAUCAGGGAAAUGCAAAUAAAAGACAAUGAGAUAUCAUCUCACCUCUGGUAAAAUGGCCGUUAUUAGAAAGACAAAAAAUGACAAGUGCUGGUGAAGAUGAGGAGAAGGUGGAACUUUUAUACACUGUUGGUGGAAAUAUAAAUUAGUAUAACCAUUAUGGAAAACAGUAUGAAAGAUUCUCAAAAAACUAAAAAAAGAACUAUUGUAUGCUCCAGCAAUUCCACUAGUGGGUACUUAUCCAGCAGACAGGAAAUCAGUCAUCAAAAGAAUACCUGCACCCCCAUGUUUUAUAUUGGCACUAUUCACAAUAGCCACAUAGACUUUUAAUUGAGCUACAUACUUGCCAACACUUAGCAUUUAUCAUGCUGGUCAAUAUUUUCUAGUCUGAUGAAAGUAAAAUGACAUCUGUUUGUGAUAUUUAUUUGCAUUUUUCUAAUUGUUAAUGAAAUUAAAUAAUUUUUCAUAAGUUUACUCUCCAUUUUUUAUUUUCUAUAAAUGCUUG